RNAcentral lists this ribosomal RNA (484 nucleotides) under uncultured bacterium. RNAcentral's name for it is "partial 16S ribosomal RNA". It matches the Rfam family "Bacterial small subunit ribosomal RNA", at positions 30 to 507 of the family's 1533-position model. The record is from RNAcentral.
AUUGAACGCUGGCGGAAUGCUUUACACAUGCAAGUCGAACGGCAGCACGGGGGCAGUCCUGGUGGCGAGUGGCGAACGGGUGAGUAAUACAUCGGAACGUGCCCGGUCGUGGGGGAUAACGUAGCGAAAGUUACGCUAAUACCGCAUACGAUCUGAGGAUGAAAGCGGGGGACCUUCGGGCCUCGCGCGAUCGGAGCGGCCGAUGUCAGAUUAGGUAGUUGGUGGGGUAAAGGCCUACCAAGCCGACGAUCUGUAGCUGGUCUGAGAGGACGACCAGCCACACUGGGACUGAGACACGGCCCAGACUCCUACGGGAGGCAGCAGUGGGGAAUUUUGGACAAUGGGCGCAAGCCUGAUCCAGCCAUUCCGCGUGCAGGACGAAGGCCUUCGGGUUGUAAACUGCUUUUGUACGGAACGAAAAGGCUCUGGCUAAUACCCGGGGCUCAUGACGGUACCGUAAGAAUAAGCACCGGCUAACUACGUG